RNAcentral lists this ribosomal RNA (491 nucleotides) under uncultured bacterium. Its description in RNAcentral is "partial 16S ribosomal RNA". It matches the Rfam family "Bacterial small subunit ribosomal RNA", at positions 29 to 507 of the family's 1533-position model. The record is from RNAcentral.
AUUGAACGCUGGCGGCAUGCUUUACACAUGCAAGUGAACGGUAACAGGCCUUCGGGUGCUGGCGAGUGGCGAACGGGUGAGUAAUGCAUCGGAACGUACCCAGAGGUGGGGGAUAACGCAGCGAAAGCUGUGCUAAUACCGCAUGUGAUCUGAGGAUGAAAGCGGGGGACCGAGCAGCAAUGUUUGGCCUCGCGCCUUUGGAGCGGCCGAUGUCGGAUUAGCUAGUUGGUGGGGUAAAGGCCUACCAAGGCGACGAUCCGUAGCUGGUCUGAGAGGACGACCAGCCACACUGGGACUGAGACACGGCCCAGACUCCUACGGGAGGCAGCAAUGGGGAAUUUUGGACAAUGGGCGCAAGCCUGAUCCAGCAAUGCCGCGUGCGGGAAGAAGGCCUUCGGGUUGUAAACCGCUUUUGGCAGGAACGAAACGGUGUCCGCUAAUACCGGGCGCUAAUGACGGUACCUGCAGAAUAAGCACCGGCUAACUACGUG